UAGAGUUUGAUCCUGGCUCAGAAUGAACGCUGGCGGCGUGGAUAAGACAUGCAAGUCGAACGAAGAAGGAAUUAGUUUACUAAUAAAUUCUUAGUGGCGGACGGGUUAGUAACGCGUGAGCAACUUGCCUUAGAGAGGGGGAUAGUCCUGGGAAACUGGGUUUAAUACCGCAUGUGCCCACCAUUUAUUUGGUUGGGUAAAGCUAGCUUCGGCUGGUGCUCUAAGAUAGGCUCGCGUCCUAUCAGCUAGUUGGUGAGGUAACGGCUCACCAAGGCGACGACGGGUAGUUGGUCUGAGAGGACGACCAGCAACACUGGAACUGAGACACGGUCCAGACACCUACGGGUGGCAGCAGUCGAGAAUCAUUCACAAUGGGGGCAACCCUGAUGGUGCAACGCCGCGUGUAGGAUGAAGGCCCUAGGGUCGUAAACUACUGUCAUGUGAGAGUAAGGCAUAUUAUUUAAUAGAUAGUAUGUUUGAUAGUAUCACAAGAGGAAGGGACGGCUAACUUCGUGCCAGCAGCCGCGGUAAUACGAAGGUCCCGAGCGUUAUUCGGAAUCACUGGGCGUAAAGGGAGCGUAGGCUGCGCGGUAAGUCAGAUGUGAAAUCUCAGGGCUCAACCCUGAAACUGCAUCCGAUACUGCCGUGCUAGAGUAAUGGAGGGGUAACUGGAAUUCUCGGUGUAGCAGUGAAAUGCGUGGAUAUCGAGAGGAAGACCAAUGGCGAAAGCAGGUUACUGGACAUUUACUGACGCUGAGGCUCGAAGCUAGGGUAGCGAAAGGGAUUAGAUACCCCUGUAGUCCUAGCAGUAAACGAUGUGCGCUUGGUGUGGGCAGGUUCGACCCUGUCCGUGCC
This 855-nucleotide ribosomal RNA is filed under the name uncultured bacterium. Its description in RNAcentral is "bacterial SSU rRNA". It matches the Rfam family "Bacterial small subunit ribosomal RNA", at positions 1 to 847 of the family's 1533-position model. The record is from RNAcentral.